Long non-coding RNA from Schistocerca nitens (vagrant locust), 437 nucleotides. RefSeq lists it as uncharacterized. NCBI's taxonomy places the organism in Eukaryota, Metazoa, Arthropoda, Insecta, Orthoptera, Acrididae. The record is from RefSeq and is a predicted model, not a curated record. The transcript has 2 exons.
AGGAGGAGGAGGGGAGGCUCGAGCGGCUCCUUUUAAACCCUGGGGACGCGCAGAGCUGCGCACCAUCUGGCAAGCUGCGCCGGCGCAGUACGCCGUGGCGUGAUGAGAUUUCUUCUCGAGUUCACUGGGGACCUCACGCCAGCCUGCGUGAGCUUAAACGCGUGCCUUUCGGCUAUCUCACAGUGGCUUGGCUGUCGUGCCAAGUCACAACACCAUCCCCGCACACAAAGCCACUGUGGAAAGAGUAUUUUCGCUGAUGUCGGCCCAGUAGAGUGUAGAAAGGAAUCGACUGCUGCCACGGACUAUGGAAUCAGUCUCACAUUGCCAGUUUAAUUACAAGUUGACUUGCAUCGAGUCUUAUAUAUACGUAAAAGAAAAAAAAAAAGAUGAGCUGAAAAAGGUGAAAUCUUCUGAGAAAUAUGGUGUACCAAUUACUU